This 396-nucleotide ribosomal RNA is filed under the name uncultured bacterium. Its description in RNAcentral is "partial 16S ribosomal RNA". It matches the Rfam family "Bacterial small subunit ribosomal RNA", at positions 523 to 917 of the family's 1533-position model. The record is from RNAcentral.
CAACGUAGGGGGCGAGCGUUGUCCGGAAUGAUUGGGCGUAAAGGGCGCGUAGGCGGCGCGGUAAGUCUGGAGUGAAAGUCCUGCUCUCAAGGUGGGAAUUGCUUUGGAUACUGCCGCGCUUGAGUGCAGGAGAGGUUAUCGGAAUUCCCGGUGUAGCGGUGAAAUGCGUAGAGAUCGGGAGGAACACCAGUGGCGAAGGCGGGUAACUGGACUGCAACUGACGCUGAGGCGCGAAAGUGUGGGGAGCAAACAGGAUUAGAUACCCUGGUAGUCCACCCUGUAAACGAUGAAUGCUAGGUGUAAUAGGUAUCGACCCCUUUUGUGCCGGAGUCAACACAAUAAGCAUUCCGCCUGGGGAGUACGGCCGCAAGGUUGAAACUCAAAGGAAUUGACGGG